This 484-nucleotide ribosomal RNA is filed under the name uncultured bacterium. RNAcentral describes it as "partial 16S ribosomal RNA". It matches the Rfam family "Bacterial small subunit ribosomal RNA", at positions 30 to 507 of the family's 1533-position model. The record is from RNAcentral.
AUUGAACGCUGGCGGCAGGCCUAACACAUGCAAGUCGAGCGGAUGAAGGUAGCUUGCUCCUGGAUUCAGCGGCGGACGGGUGAGUAAUGCCCAGGAAUCUGCCUGGUAGAGGGGGAUAACGUCCCGAAACGGGCGCUGAUACCGCAUACGACGGGAGGGAGAAAGUGGGGGAUCUUCGGACCUCGCGCUAUCAGAUGAUCCUAGGACGGAUUAGCUAGUCGGUGGUGUAAAGGUCGACCAAGACGACGAUCCGUAACUGGUCUGAGAGGAGGUGCAGUCCCACUGGAACUGAGACACGGUCCAGACUCCUACGGGGGGACGCAGUAGGGAAUAUUGGGCGAUGGCAGAAGGCCUGAUCCAGCCAUGCGGCGUGUGUGAAGAAGGUCUUCGGGUUUUAAAGCACUUUAAGUUGGGAGGAAGGGCAGUAAGUUACUACCUUGCUGUAUUGACGUUACCAACAGAAUAAGCACCGGCUAACUUCGUG